Molecule: ribosomal RNA, 2803 nt
Filed under: Klebsiella pneumoniae
Lineage: Bacteria; Pseudomonadati; Pseudomonadota; Gammaproteobacteria; Enterobacterales; Enterobacteriaceae
Description: 23S ribosomal RNA
Source: RNAcentral
UUAAGCGACUAAGCGUACACGGUGGAUGCCCUGGCAGUCAGAGGCGAUGAAGGACGUGCUAAUCUGCGAAAAGCGUCGGUAAGGUGAUAUGAACCGUUAYARCCGGCGAUGUCCGAAUGGGGAAACCCAGUGCAAUUCGUUGCACUAUCGUUAACUGAAUACAUAGGUUAACGARGCGAACCGGGGGAACUGAAACAUCUAAGUACCCCGAGGAAAAGAAAUCAACCGAGAUUCCCCCAGUAGCGGCGAGCGAACGGGGAGCAGCCCAGAGUCUGAAUCAGCUUGUGUGUUAGUGGAACGGUCUGGAAAGUCCGACGGUACAGGGUGAUAGUCCCGUACACCAAAAUGCACAGGCUGUGAACUCGAAGAGUAGGGCGGGACACGUGGUAUCCUGUCUGAAUAUGGGGGGACCAUCCUCCAAGGCUAAAUACUCCUGACUGACCGAUAGUGAACCAGUACCGUGAGGGAAAGGCGAAAAGAACCCCGGCGAGGGGAGUGAAAAAGAACCUGAAACCGUGUACGUACAAGCAGUGGGAGCACCUUCGGGUGUGACUGCGUACCUUUUGUAUAAUGGGUCAGCGACUUAUAUUCUGUAGCAAGGUUAACCGUAUAGGGGAGCCGCAGGGAAACCGAGUCUUAACUGGGCGUUAAGUUGCAGGGUAUAGACCCGAAACCCGGUGAUCUAGCCAUGGGCAGGUUGAAGGUUGGGUAACACUAACUGGAGGACCGAACCGACUAAUGUUGAAAAAUUAGCGGAUGACUUGUGGCUGGGGGUGAAAGGCCAAUCAAACCGGGAGAUAGCUGGUUCUCCCCGAAAGCUAUUUAGGUAGCGCCUCGUGAAYUCAUCUUCGGGGGUAGAGCACUGUUUCGGCUAGGGGGUCAUCCCGACUUACCAACCCGAUGCAAACUACGAAUACCGAAGAAUGUUAUCACGGGAGACACACGGCGGGUGCUAACGUCCGUCGUGAAGAGGGAAACAACCCAGACCGCCAGCUAAGGUCCCAAAGUCAUGGUUAAGUGGGAAACGAUGUGGGAAGGCACAGACAGCCAGGAUGUUGGCUUAGAAGCAGCCAUCAUUUAAAGAAAGCGUAAUAGCUCACUGGUCGAGUCGGCCUGCGCGGAAGAUGUAACGGGGCUAAACCAUGCACCGAAGCUGCGGCAGCGACACUAUGUGUUGUUGGGUAGGGGAGCGUUCUGUAAGCCUGCGAAGGUGUGCUGUGAGGCAUGCUGGAGGUAUCAGAAGUGCGAAUGCUGACAUAAGUAACGAUAAAGCGGGUGAAAAGCCCGCUCGCCGGAAGACCAAGGGUUCCUGUCCAACGUUAAUCGGGGCAGGGUGAGUCGACCCCUAAGGCGAGGCCGAAAGGCGUAGUCGAUGGGAAACAGGUUAAUAUUCCUGUACUUGGUGUUACUGCGAAGGGGGGACGGAGAAGGCUAUGUUAGCCGGGCGACGGUUGUCCCGGUUUAAGCAUGUAGGCUGRUURUCCAGGCAAAUCCGGAUAAUCAAGGCUGAGGUGUGAUGACGAGGCACUACGGUGCUGAAGUAACAAAUGCCCUGCUUCCAGGAAAAGCCUCUAAGCAUCAGGUAACAUYAAAUCGUACCCCAAACCGACACAGGUGGUCAGGUAGAGAAUACCAAGGCGCUUGAGAGAACUCGGGUGAAGGAACUAGGCAAAAUGGUGCCGUAACUUCGGGAGAAGGCACGCUGGUGUGUAGGUGAAGUCCCUGCGGAUGGAGCUGAGACCAGUCGAAGAUACCAGCUGGCUGCAACUGUUUAUUAAAAACACAGCACUGUGCAAACACGAAAGUGGACGUAUACGGUGUGACGCCUGCCCGGUGCCGGAAGGUUAAUUGAUGGGGUUAUCCGUAAGGAGAAGCUCUUGAUCGAAGCCCCGGUAAACGGCGGCCGUAACUAUAACGGUCCUAAGGUAGCGAAAUUCCUUGUCGGGUAAGUUCCGACCUGCACGAAUGGCGUAAUGAUGGCCAGGCUGUCUCCACCCGAGACUCAGUGAAAUUGAACUCGCUGUGAAGAUGCAGUGUACCCGCGGCAAGACGGAAAGACCCCGUGAACCUUUACUAUAGCUUGACACUGAACAUUGAGCCUUGAUGUGUAGGAUAGGUGGGAGGCUUUGAAGCGUGGACGCCAGUCUGCGUGGAGCCAACCUUGAAAUACCACCCUUUAAUGUUUGAUGUUCUAACGUUGGCCCCUKACCGGGGUUGCGGACAGUGUCUGGUGGGUAGUUUGACUGGGGCGGUCUCCUCCCAAAGCGUAACGGAGGAGCACGAAGGUUAGCUAAUCCUGGUCGGACAUCAGGAGGUUAGUGCAAUGGCAUAAGCUAGCUUGACUGCGAGCGUGACGGCGCGAGCAGGUGCGAAAGCAGGUCAUAGUGAUCCGGUGGUUCUGAAUGGAAGGGCCAUCGCUCAACGGAUAAAAGGUACUCCGGGGAUAACAGGCUGAUACCGCCCAAGAGUUCAUAUCGACGGCGGUGUUUGGCACCUCGAUGUCGGCUCAUCACAUCCUGGGGCUGAAGUAGGUCCCAAGGGUAUGGCUGUUCGCCAUUUAAAGUGGUACGCGAGCUGGGUUUAGAACGUCGUGAGACAGUUCGGUCCCUAUCUGCCGUGGGCGCUGGAGAAUUGAGGGGGGCUGCUCCUAGUACGAGAGGACCGGAGUGGACGCAUCACUGGUGUUCGGGUUGUCAUGCCAAUGGCACUGCCCGGUAGCUAAAUGCGGAAGAGAUAAGUGCUGAAAGCAUCUAAGCACGAAACUUGCCCCGAGAUGAGUUCUCCCUGAGACUWUAAGUCUCCU